RNAcentral lists this ribosomal RNA (738 nucleotides) under uncultured endophytic bacterium. RNAcentral describes it as "bacterial SSU rRNA". It matches the Rfam family "Bacterial small subunit ribosomal RNA", at positions 771 to 1504 of the family's 1533-position model. The record is from RNAcentral.
AACCGGAUUAGAUACCCUGGUAGUCCACGCUGUAAACGGUGGGUACUAGGUGUGGGGUCCAUUCCACGGGUUCCGUGCCGUAGCUAACGCUUUAAGUACCCCGCCUGGGGAGUACGGCCGCAAGGCUAAAACUCAAAGGAAUUGACGGGGCCCCGCACAAGCGGCGGAGCAUGCGGAUUAAUUCGAUGCAACGCGUAGAACCUUACCUGGGUUUGACAUGGAUCGGGAGUGCUCAGAGAUGGGUGUGCCUCUUUUGGGGUCGGUUCACAGGUGGUGCAUGGCUGUCGUCAGCUCGUGUCGUGAGAUGUUGGGUUAAGUCCCGCAACGAGCGCAACCCUUGUUCACUGUUGCCAGCACGUUAUGGUGGGGACUCAGUGGAGACCGCCGGGGUCAACUCGGAGGAAGGUGGGGAUGACGUCAAGUCAUCAUGCCCCUUAUGUCCAGGGCUUCACGCAUGCUACAAUGGCUGGUACAGAGAGUGGCGAGCCUGUGAGGGUGAGCGAAUCUCGGAAAGCCGGUCUCAGUUCGGAUUGGGGUCUGCAACUCGACCUCAUGAAGUCGGAGUCGCUAGUAAUCGCAGAUCAGCAACGCUGCGGUGAAUACGUUCCCGGGGCUUGUACACACCGCCCGUCAAGUCAUGAAAGUUGGUAACACCCGAAGCCGGUGGCCUGACCGUUGUGGGGGAGCCGUCGAAGGUGGGACUGGUGAUUAGGACUAAGUCGUAACAAGGUAGCCGUA